AAUCAAUAGGACAAUUUGCUGAGGUCUGGGAGCACCCUCCCCAAAGAAUCCCUGAUCUCCCCAAAUUUGGUGAAGAACUAAAGUUCAUUUUGCUGUACAACUGCCCCACCUAUUUUUGUUUUUGGAGUUUUACUUGCUUACUUGCCUUCCUUAUAAGGAAGGCAAGAUUUACUUUUACUUCCUUUACAAGGAAGGCAAGAUUUCCUGCUUCCAUGAUGAUGAAAGGCAUGUAGAGUUUGAGCUCACUCCCAGCAGGGAAGACCAGUUUGAGUUUUUUUCCUGCUUCUAGGGUGGUAGAAAGCAGCCUUCAGCCUGAGACCCAUCCCUAGGUGCUUUGAAAGUACCUGUGACAUUAAGUUACAGGCCUUUGACUCCUGGGUCUAAAAAGGACACCAAGGUCUGCUAAAUCUUAAGCACUGACAGCAAUUAAAACCUCAUCUUCAGGCCUGGUAGAAGAUGCCAAUCAAAAUAAACUGCAUUCCUGAGACAUAAGGCCAGAAGUAAAAGCUAUUCAACUCCUCAAGGCUCAGGAACUACCACAGAAGAGUCCUUUUUAGAAGAUGGUUUUAUAAUCAGCUAUAAAACUCUAACACGUGUUCUUGAAGGCAAGUUUCUAAUAACUUUGGAGACUGUGACAUCAGAAUGGAGGAAAAGCUUUCAGAACUCAUGGAGACCUGAAAUGUUCAUGAAUAGCAAGCAGAACAGGAAUUAACUGCAUGAACUGAACUAAUAGAAGAGCAACGUAAUCUUUUUGACUUUUUGCUUAAAAUGUUGCUGCUCCUUGUUUUCCUUUUUUUAGUCAAGGAAACUUUUAUUUGAGCUGUUGUCAGCUUUUAACAAGUUAGUAUACUCCUGUGAAAAAUAUUUGGAGCAUAUUUGUUUCUCUCUACCUGAUUUUCCCCAGAAUUGGAAACUAUCUGUGAGUAUUCUUAACUUAUGGCAAUACAGUUAUUUGCAUAAGUGCAAUAAUAAUCUGUUUUCAUGUGUAACAAGACACAAUUGGAGAAAUUGGUCAUUUUACCAAGGCUUUGACUGGAAUGGUGUGCUCUCCUUUAAGGAAUCAAAUUUGACUUAUGGAGCCAAUAAAAGCCCCUUGGGAGAACUGGCCUCAUACCUUAUCUACACAGUCCCUGUACAGGGUUCCUGACCUGUGGUAAGUAAAGCAUGUCACUUUCUAACAGUUCCAGGAGCCCCAAGUUUAUCUUGGAACCUCAAGAGCAGAGGAAUUCAUGCAACUCAUAGGUAUUUGAUGGUACAAAUCCAUGGCUAGGCUAAGCUUUCCAAAAGUCUUAUCCGAAAUUCCUUCUAUGGAACAAAGUUCUGAUAGGGACAGGGGGCUGAGAAAUUCUAGGCAGAAAAGGGUAGGUCUCUGACAAAACCCCACCUUCAAGCUGAAAAGCCUUAAACCACGGCCCAAAGUGAGAACUUAUAUCCCUGUUUUCCUGCUUGAAAGUUGCCUUUUUCUAAACCACUCAUGGCUCCAUCCUGUCCAUCCUAUGCCUGUGAAGAUGCCAGACUCAGCUGGCAGAGGCAAGAAGCAGCUGGACAUUGGGAACUACAGCUGGACGUCAGAGAGAAGCAGCUUGAUUCAGAGGGACAGCUUGAUGGUGUAAUCUUGGAGAAGAAUCCAGCUGGAUACAGCCUAACUUUGAGGAAGAUUACCUACCCACCCCAUCCUUUUUCAGCUCCGCUUUCUGCUAAGAGCCACUUUCAUCAGCAACAAAAUCCCCCACAUUUACCAUCCUUUGAUUGGUUCAUGUGACCUCACUUUUCCUGGACACAAGACAAGAGCUUGGGAGCCAGGAGAGCAGAUACAAAAGACUGUCACACUGGCCCUCUGCCCUUGCUGGUGGAGGGCAGCUGCCUCACACAAAAAGGCAGAGGCCUCACUGAGCUGUUGACACUUAAGCCAUCCAUGGAAGGCAGAGUUAAAAGAACACUGUAACAUGCCCUCUGGGGCUAUGGGGGUCGCAGGCACCCCCACCUAGAUGCUGCUGUGGGGCCCACACAGAGUUUGCUCCUGCCGGUGGCCAAAAGCACUCACUUUGGCUCCUGCACUGAUUCACCUGCAUGCUUCCUCCCACAAGCAGGGGACUGCAGCAGGUCCCAGUGAGUGAAGUUUGAUCCUACCGUGCUGCAGUGCCGAUUCCAGCACACGUGCACUCCAGUUCCUGCCUCAUUUGCUUGCAUGCUCGCUCCUGCAAGGAGUUGAGAGUGGCAGGCUGAAUAAACGAGGCACCCGUCACAAGUCCCACAAAGGGGUCAGGGAAACAUCCUGCUUCAGUUCCAUCAAAGGCAAUUUAAAAGCUUAUGCAAAAAAAAAGUAUUACUAUGGCUGCGCUGUAUACAAAUAAUCAGGUCAAGUAUAAUAAAGAAAAUCAGCCCUGCCAUGAUUUGUCUUUAGUAAAAAUGGGAAAUGGGAGAGAGAAGAAUUAUGUUUCAAAAAAUGAUAAUACACCUGUUGUUAGAUUCUAGUCUUGCCUAAUGUUUUCCCAUUUUUAUUAUUUUCUACAGUUUCCACUGAAUUCUAAUUUUUCUUGGCUACAGGUCUUCAAAAGAUUGUUUUCAGUUUUUUUUUCUUCUUCUUUCCCCCAUUUUUCCUAAUUUGGAGUCACUGAAAACUCAUCUGUGCUUUUGUAAAGCCCUGCGAACUGGAGCUAGAGAAUUUAAACUUCAGAAGAAAAUACCAGCAACCUGUUUACAUACAUAAGCCACUUUCAUACCUGCCUACUGAUGUAUGGACUUCAGAGUAAUGUGGCCCAUAUUGAUUUUCCAGGAUUGUUCUUUUGUUUAUUUUUGUUUUUCUCCCUUCCUCCCCCUAUUUUCUCUUCAUAGGACAUGAAACUUCACAACCUGCUAAAAAUGAACUUUCCUAAUAACUCAGGAAUUAUCUUUCUAGGAAUAAACAAUCCUAGCCAUGAGAUAUCAGAUGAAACUUGAGACCAAAGACUGACUUUCUUCAAAAAGGCUUUCUCAAAAAGAUUUUUAAGAAAAGGGGGGAAAUUUGAAAGGAAAAUAAACCUUGGGGCCCUGAAAUCACUAAGGUAAAGGGGAAAGUCAAGCUGGGAACUGCUUAGGGCAAACCUGCCUCCCAUUCUAUUCACAGUCACCCCUCUGCUCACUGAGUUAAAUGCAUAUCUGAUUGCCUCCUUUGGAAAGGCUAAUCAGAAACUCUAAAGAAAGCAACCAUUUGUCUCUUAUCUACCUAUGACCUGGAAGCCCCUCCCCGCUUAGACUUGUCCCGCCUUUUCCGGACGGAACCACUGUUCAUCUUACAUAUGUUGAUUGAUGUCUCAUGUCUCCCUAAAAUGUAUAAAACCAAGCUGUGCUCUGACCACUUUGGGCACAUGUCUUCAGAACCUCCUGAGGCUGUGUCACAGGUGUACAUCCCCAACCUUGGCAAAAUAAACUUUCUAAAUAAACUGAGACCUGUCUCCGAUUUUGGGGGUUCACAAGGCCAUACUGACUUGUCCCCUGUGUGAAGCCCAGCAGGAUCCUUUCACAGCAAGCUCUUUUCACUUGAACCUUUGUGCAUCAGUGCCUAACUCUUUCACAAGAUAAGGGGUCCUACAGAAUCGAAGCAGACCCACCAGAGGGUUACAAGUUCCUGAUACCUAGUACAACCUGGGAAAGAGAGCAAAAGCCCUUUAUUCCUGAUGCAGCUUCCCCAAUCUCUAGCCAAUUUGCACCAAAAGCCCAAGAAACUCCUAACUACAAAUUCCUUCCUGGGGUGGGGUGUUUGGGAGGGUGGGCAGGGACUUCUCUGGGGUCCUGCAUGCACAGCUAGGAUCAAGGUUCAGCUUAUAGUAACCAUUUCCUCAUUUUAAUAGUAAAAACAACCACAACAAGAAAAACACCCCAAGGCGGAGAUUUCAUAUGCUAAUGAUACAUGCGAUGGGUGUUAGACCACGUGGAUCCUGAGCACAUGUGCCAACCGCAGGUCUGCCUUUGCAUACUUGACCUCACCAGUAUUUUAUGAUUAUGUACGUAUAGCUCCCAUAAAAGGAAUUCCUCUUACAGCACUAGCUGCUGUCUCUCCCACUGAGCACCCCACUCUGCCUCUCAAAGAGUACUUUUGCUUUGCAACAAAUUUCUUCGCUUACUCUUACUUUGGAUUUGCUCUCAAAUUCUUUUGCACAGCAAAUUCAAGAACCUGAACUGGUCCACCGACAACAAAAUAACAAAAUUCCCUUAUAUAACAUUUGGAGUCUGCCUUAACUGAUUUGAAUCAAGAUGGAAUGCAGUAGGAUGAGAUGUGCCUUUUAAAUUUGACACAGAAGAGUGAGGAGUAUUACCAUGAUAUCAUAAGUUCUAAAAUCAUGGAUGAACUUACAAACAACAAUACUGGGGCUUUACCUAUCCCAAAGCAUUCCAUAUAUCAAAUUGAAACAAUCAAAAGCUUCUAUUUUAUUUUAGUUUAUGCGUGACAUUGGAGCAGUUUGGCACUAUGAGUUCAUCCCUGAAGUCUUACUUUGGAAUCAUGCUUUGAGAAUCCCCUUCUACUGCAUUCCCACCUCACCCCCAUGAAUCAGUAAACUCAGUGAAAAUUAUCACAAAAA
Molecule: long non-coding RNA, 4559 nt
Filed under: Homo sapiens (human)
Lineage: Eukaryota; Metazoa; Chordata; Mammalia; Primates; Hominidae
Description: HSALNT0240615
Source: RNAcentral